GAUGAACGCUGGCGGCGUGCCUAAUACAUGCAAGUCGAGCGAACAGACGAGGAGCUUGCUCCUCUGACGUUAGCGGCGGACGGGUGAGUAACACGUGUAUAACCUACCUAUAAGACUGGGAUAACUUCGGGAAACCGGAGCUAAUACCGGAUAAUAUCUUGAACCGCAUGGUGCAAUAGUGAAAGACGGUGUUGCUGUCACUUAUAGCUGGAUCCGGGCCGUAUUGGCUAGUUGGUAAGUUCACGGCUUACCAAGGCGACCAUGCGUAGGCGAAGUGAGAGGGUGAUAGGCCGCACGGGAACUGAGACGCGGACCAGGCGCCUACGAGAGGCCGCAGAAGGGAAUCUGACGCAAUGGGCGGAAGCCUGGCGGAGCAACCGGAAGUGAGAGGUGAAGGCGUUCGGAUCGGAAUGCUCUGUUAUGAGGUAUGAACAACUGUGUAAUUAACUAAGCACGUAGUGACGGUACCUAGUCAGAAAGCAACGGCUAACUACGUG
This 497-nucleotide ribosomal RNA is filed under the name uncultured bacterium. RNAcentral describes it as "partial 16S ribosomal RNA". It matches the Rfam family "Bacterial small subunit ribosomal RNA", at positions 28 to 507 of the family's 1533-position model. The record is from RNAcentral.